This 377-nucleotide ribosomal RNA is filed under the name uncultured Klebsiella sp. RNAcentral describes it as "bacterial SSU rRNA". It matches the Rfam family "Bacterial small subunit ribosomal RNA", at positions 355 to 724 of the family's 1533-position model. Lineage: Bacteria; Pseudomonadati; Pseudomonadota; Gammaproteobacteria; Enterobacterales; Enterobacteriaceae. The record is from RNAcentral.
GGGGAAGUAUUGCACAAUGGGCGGCAAGCCUGAUGCAGCCAUGCCGCGUGUGUGAAGAAGGCCUCGGGUUGUAAAGCACUUUCAGCGGGGAGGAAGGCGGUGAGGUUAAUAACCUUGUCGAUUGACGUUACCCGCAGAAGAAGCACCGGCUAACUCCGUGCCAGCAGCCGCGGUAAUACGGAGGGUGCAAGCGUUAAUCGGAAUUACUGGGCGUAAAGCGCACGCAGGCGGCCUGUCAAGUCGGAUGUGAAAUCCCCGGGCUCAACCUGGGAACUGCAUUCGAAACUGGCAGGCUAGAGUCUUGUAGAGGGGGGUAGAAUUCCAGGUGUAGCGGUGAAUGCGUUAGAGAUCUGGAGGAAUACCGGUGGCGAAGGCGG